Tetranychus urticae (two-spotted spider mite) is the source of this 7303-nucleotide non-coding RNA. Lineage: Eukaryota; Metazoa; Arthropoda; Arachnida; Trombidiformes; Tetranychidae. The record is from RefSeq and is a predicted model, not a curated record.
UACUUUCUGGUGAAUCUUAAAAACGGUUAAGUUAUUUAAUUAAAUGUGACUCUUAUAAUCCUUCCAACUUUGUUUAUCUGUUUAUUUUUGCAACUUUAGUGCUUUUCAUUAUUGAAUAGAAAAUUAAAUUCACUGUUUCAUUGCUUGUCCUCUCUUUGGUUCUAUCAGCUUCAUCAUCAUCUUGGUGAAUGUCAAUCAGAUCAACCCUGUCCAUCAACAAAUCUCAAGUCAAGAAGAAAAAAAAAUCUGUAAUCUGAAAAUCGCCUACAGUCAUUUGGAAGCUUCUGAUUUCAAAAAUAGAUUGAUAACUUUUCUUUUUAUACUAAUAAUGCAUAUAAAUGUGUAUUCAAUAAAAGCAGCAAAUAAUCACAACUUUAAAUCUUUUGAUGCCUGUUAAGUAAUCAAGUUACAUUUUAUUAAAAAGACAGAUAAUACAGGUUACAAUGUAUUCAUCUUGAUCCUCAUCAGACCUCAACCUCAUCAACAGCACAAAAUUUAAUCAUCUUUUAUCAAUCAAAAAAUUGUUCAUUUAAAUAUAUAAAUAUUACAGUGUAUGUUAAAAAAAUGUGAUCUUACUCAUUGUUUUGCCUUACCUUAUAAAUGUGUAUAAUUAAAUGUAAAAGGUUAAUUGAAUGCUGAUAAUAAUAAUCAAAGAGAGAUGAAGAGAAAAAAUUAUAAAUGAAAUUGUCAUUCCUUUUCAUUUCAAUUUAACAUUUAAUGUGAUUAAAAUUGAUUAGACUGUUAGGCUUGCUAUUAAGGUAAAAAAGUUAAUCAUAAUUGAUGGUAUUGUAUGUAACAUUUUGAUUCAUUAUCAUUAUGCUUUUUGUUAAAAAUUAUCUUUGAUUGAUUUGAUGCAUUUUAUGCUUUGUUAGACACUUUUAACUUUAUAAAGCACCCCUUUACCAUUUUGAAAUGAUUUUUGUUUGAUUGUGAAAGCGGCAAUUUUGAUUGAUCUUUCUUGUGGUUCCUUGAAUUUGCUUUGUUUUCAUUUUAUCCUUAAUUGUUUUCCAAUUGUGUCGAUUACUUAUUAAUUAUUUAUUAAUGGUUAAGUGAUUUAACUUUGUUUUUAAUUUUCUUGAUCACCUUCAACUUGUCAUUAAAAUUAUCUCUACCCAAAGAUAUCUAUCUAUCUAAAUAUCUAUCUAUUCUUGUCGAUCUCCUUUUCCCUCGUCUUUUGUUAACCGUUUAAUCAGUCAUCGUGGCCAUCUUUAAAUUUUUUGUAACCCUAAUUUUACUUGAUUUAACAAUGUACCUUUUUUUCAUUUCAACAUUUUCACCUAUUUUUAGAGCCAACCUUUAACCUCAAAUAUAAACACCUAAUGUACAUCAUGUGUGUUGUUGUUGAACCAUUGGAUUGAUCAUUCCCUUUUCGACUCAAAUAACAGCGAAUUAAACUGGGAAAAAAGCUUUAGGGUAAUCAAUGUUUUGUAAUUUGAUCAGCUAGAAGCUCAUGUUUCAGGACGAUAAUGCUGAUGAAACAGACAAGUAUAGAACCCAACCUUUACCAUCAAACAUGUUGCUUAGUAUGCAAGUCACUACAUUAGCCUCUCUGGUAUGAAGAUGAUUAAACCAACCUGUCUUUUUAUUUUCUCUCUGCGACCCUGGAGCAAAGGUCUCGAAGAUAAGGACUGAUAAAGCUGGUAAAAAAAGAGUUUUCCAAUUUGCGCUUGAAGGAAAUUACCUUUUUCACUUGGAUGUCAUAAGUACAGUUCUUUCUCUCUUUAUCAACCAGAGUGUAUAAAUUUAGUUUGCUUGCACUGUAUCUUCCAUCCAGGAAAAUUAUGAAGUCACAAUCAGAGGAGAAACAGAAUAGAUAAACAGCGAAAGAGUUUAGUAUGUCUCCUCUCAUUUUAUUGUGGUCAUUUUGUCCUCUUCCUUGGUUCUGCUGUGUAAUGUUAUUCGGUCAAUGCAUUACUUGCUUAACAAUAAAUCACUGGUCAAAAAAAGAGAUUAAAUUUAUCAACCUUUAUUUACAAUAUGGAGAAAGAGAAAAGUGAAAUACCUUCGGAAAUAUCAUUAUCAUCGUUAUUACCAUCCUUACCUUAAUUUCAAUCAUUAUGCUCCUUUAAAAUUGGCAUAUUUGAUUGGAGUAGGAAAAGUCAAGAAAGUCAUGGAAACAUAAUACAAAAUAAACAAGCAAGGGAAAGGCAGGAAAAACUUUUAAUCAUGUUGGAGGUGAACAAAGUUACUAACUAGGACUACCCGGUAAAGGUUAAAGGUUAUUGGUUGGCAGAAGGAAACAAAAACGUCUAAAAUAAAAGGGAUCGUUAAUUGGAGUUAAAUGAGAUUGAAGUUGAAUCUUAAGCAAAGUAAAUGUUAAUGUUGCACCGAAUCGGUAUGCCAUUCAAAAAGUUUGUUACAAAUGGACAUUGGAAAAUAUUCUUGUGAAAACAAAGCACAACAACAGCAGUUGAUAGUUUAAUGUUCAACUUCUGACGCACACACACGCACUUAAACACACAAAAGGCGCAUCUCAUUAACCCUAUCGUCGUUUUCAUCAGCAUAAUCAUCCAUUUAAGCUCUUGGGCGGUCAUGUUAUUAUUUUGGACUCGUUUGAAGCCCAUCGUUCCGUUUAAAUGCAUUUAACCAAGUCUUGCGUUUUCUCCUGCUUAACCUGUUUAAACAAAUCAUUGUUUUAGACAAAAACUAACCACAAACCAUUCGCCAAUCACAAGGAAAAAAACAGUCAAUGCAAAGGAAAAAAAAGGAUAAGCCAACAUUUAAAAGAUCCUGUAAUUCUUAUUCUCAGCGUUUUUUCUUCAUCUUUUCUUUGCUCUUUUCGUUUCCUACUCUUUUCCUCCUUUUCGCAUCAAUAGAUUCGUGAGAUGAUGAUGAAGCAAAACGGAAUAAAAGCAUUACAAUAAAGAAGCAGAAAGCAAGCUCUAACAUAUGGUCGACCUGAGGUCCAUUUUGAAUUUUUUGGCGAAAAAUGAUUUACAAAGUUUAUGCGGUACUAAAUUCAUUGGCUUAAACAACAGGAAGAUAUGGUAAGGAGGCGGAAGAAGAAGAAGAGAAAGAAAAGGACAAGAAAAAAAGAAAGAGAAAAUUAUCCAAAAGACAGUGAAAAGGCCAUUUUACCAUUGUAUUAUCGUUGUUUAGAAUGGCCUAUCAAAAGGAAAAAGAAAAGAAGGAAACAAGAUGGACUACGCGAAUACAACCCAACAGGGCGAUGGGCAAGUGAAUGAUGAUGAGUUUAUCAUGAUGAUAAUAAUGGUGAUGGUCAUUUUGGAAGAUUGAAACGGAAACACUCGGAAACGAGUCUUCUCAGCCGAAAGAUUUGCGAGUAAAAUAGUGAACCCAGGCGAAGUCAAUGAUAUAUCAAACUUUCUCUCUGAUUCCAACUUCUGCUCGCUUUUUUUGCUCUACACCCAAAACAAUGUUAAUCUCAACUGUGACACCAGCCAAAAAGCCAGCAAAAAAGAGGAAGAAAAUCCUAAAGGCGAAGGCAAAAAAAAAUGUAAAGAUUUGGUGACUCUCGAUGUUUUUCCUGAUUUUUAACGGUUUAUGCAUCUUUUUUGCUCCAACUUCCUCUGGAUCUGUCUCUGGAUUUAUCAUUAUCCAAUCGUAAAAUGGUAAAAGCAAGUUUAUAAAAAAAAGAUGAGGCCAAUAACACGGCAAAAAGGCAUUAGUUUGACGAGUAUCUCGAUCACUUUUUUUUCUUGAACCUCAUUUUCAUGUUUCUCUUUUUUUACUUGCUUCUAUUCCAUCUUGCCCUCUAGUUUGACUGAAUUUUAUCUGAUCGUUUUAAGGUAAAAGGUUUGAUAAAUAUCUAAGUGUAGGUUUGAUCCAUCACAGAUUUGAUGGCAAAUGACAUGAACAGUAUUUAGAAAUACCUUUUUUUAUCGCUAAUUCCGUAGAUUUUUUGCAUCUUCCGUCAGUUUUGUAUGCAAAAAAUAGAAGAGGAAAGCAAUUAAAUGUUUUCAAUAUUAAUUUAGCACAGCAUUUAUCACUUAUAAUUUACUCUUGAAUCUUUAUUGUUUGCAAAAUGUUUACAAUAUUCAUAUUCAUAAUUGUAUUCAGUGAAACAAAGUAUGAAAUCAGGAAAUAAGAUGAACCAGAAGCAGGAAAAAAAAGAUAUGAACAAAGGGAAAUUAAUAAAAAACCGUUGAUGAGGAUUGAAUGAAAAGGCAAUUGAAGUAAACAAUCAACAAUCAGGUAAACUCACAAUACAAUUUGCUCUCUUUUUUCAUUAACAUCAAUCAGGUUGGCAAAAAGGUCAAUUGUUUUACAUUAUCAUUAUUUUCAAUAUUACAAUUGUGAUUGACAUGAAAUUGUGUUCACCAAUCAUGAUUACAUUGAGCUUUUAAUCUUGAACAAACAAGACUAUCCCGGUUUAAUAAGGGUUAAAGAUGAGAACCUUGUUAACAUUAAUUGAUGAAAAUGUACAGUUUAACUGUAAUAGUUAACCAUUGACAAAAAGAGUGGCAAAAAAGUGUUGUUUAGUAUUGCUUGAUGAGACUAAAUUUAAUGAUUAAUUCAUCCAUUAAAUGAUUUAGAUAAUGUUUUAUACAAACAAGCCUAAAAGAGCGUAAUCUAAUACAUCUUUUAACAUUGCCUGUUGAUCUUGAUGAAGCAGCAAGAAAACAAACUCAACUCUAACAGACUGUGUGUACAUUAAUUGUGAUUGUUUAAUUUGAUUGACAGUAAAAUCAAGCCUCUAAUAAGGGGUUUAAUCAGAUGUCAGAUUAAAGUAAACAAGGUUUCAAUUGCUGUCAUAAUAUUGAAGAGUAUGCGAACUGAGAAAAUGUCAUUUGUUCAAAUAAAAAAAAGCCGAGUUAACUGAGUAUCUAGUAAAUAUGAUAUCUUGUACAAUGUUGACUAAAGUUGAUGAAGACGAAGAUGAAAUACUGAAGACCCUUUACUGAAUUUAUUUACUUUGAAAUUCACGUUCGAUUAGAGAAGAUAACUUUAAAUGUAAGUUAACAACAGAAUCAAUAAUAAUGUGAUAAUCACUUCCAGGUAAAGCUAUAGGAAGGAAAGCCAUGAUUUGAAACUAAAUCUUUAAUAAUGAUUUGCCAGUUAUUUGGGAAAAGUGAUUUUCUCUCUCUUACCUGUUUAUCCUUGCCAAUAAACUGUACCGGUUAAAUGACUAAAUGAUAACUUGCACAAACUUGCUUUUGUGUUGAGCUUUCAAAAAGUGUAAACCUGGUCAAUGAAGUCAACUAACGAUGCAACUUUGUUUCUGCCAUGUAAAGAAGGAGAAGAAACAAUUGAAGAUUACCAUUGAAAUAACCAUUGAAAUAUCCAUUGGAAACCGAUUGCCUGGAAGGAUCAAAAUGAAUGCCAGCGGACCAUCAACGCCUUAGUGUGACACUUACUGGUUUACUCAAAUUAUUUGAACAUCAUCAUCAUUAACAAUAACAACGUUAUUAAUAUCUCUUGCUACUGAACAUAAUAAUCAAUUUUGACUGUCUUACAUUGAUUAAGAGAAGUGCCUUUCAUAUAUAAUUAUUACCUGAUUAUUACUAUUAUUACAACUUGGUUGGCUUCUGUAUGUGUGUGUGCCUUUCAACCUCCAAUGUAGCAGCAUCAUGUCAACAGUAUCAUGAAGUCGAUGAUCAACGUUAUUAUCAAAGCUGAUGAAGAUAAACUUUCUUUCGCCAUCAGAGUAAAUAAUUUACAGAAUGGAUUGAGAUAAAUUUGAUGUUUACCUGGGCGGUCGUUUUCCACUCUUCUCUACCUCUCUGAUUGGCGAUGAUUCAAAGUAAUAAUUGGCCUUUAGCCCAAACCAAGAAGAAAAUUCUGAUCAAGAAAUGUUCAUUUUUUAUCCAUCAAGCCAAAUGUGUAAAUCAAUGCAGUUGAGGCGCAAAAGUAAAGGAAAAGUCAAAUUGAGAUUUCAAAUUUUCUCUCGUUUCCAUCUCAACGAAUUGUCAUGAAGCAAAUCAAUUAUUGAACAAUUUACAGGAGCAAAAAUAGGCCUUUAAAAUGAUGUAAACAUGAUGCUGGUUAAACCAUUUACAUUUGUGUAAACGCUGUAAAAGCCAUCAAGAAUGAAGAGCCAAGAAGAAGAAGAAAAAAAAGUAAUUGAAACAGCAAAGAAACAAGGAAAACUCACAAUUUCUCAUUUUAAUGAUCAACAAACGGAAAAAACUGAAGGGAUAAACUGAAUGGGAAGGUGAAUGGAAGGCAACUAAAAUAGGAAGGAGAGACUUGUAUUAAUUACAAUGUUAUCCUGAGGGCAAUUUAAAGACACCACCAAAGUAGACUCCAACUUAAUCUCAAUUCACUUUCCUCUUCACCUUACAUCAUCAUCAUCUUCUUGCUCAUCUUCUGUUUUUAUUUUCUCUCUUCUCUUAAUCUUUCCUUUUCUUCUCUGUAUAAAUUUAUCAAUUGAGUUGUUGUUAUUACCUUAACUCGUGUGUGUUCUCGCCAUUAUUUUCAUUUCAACUUUACCUCUUAUCUUCAUCCUCCUCAUCAUCAUCAUCAUUUUCAUCUUUCCCUCUCUAUCGCCAGGCUAAAAGGACAAAAGUCUCAAAGUUAAUUAGCCGUUUAGGACGCUUAACAUUCAGAAGUCAUUUUACCGAAGCAAGGUGAUGAAAAUGGAUACAAACAAUGGUUAAUAGCGAGCUAAUUUAUUUCAUUAUUUAUUAACUUUCACUGAUUAACCUUUCAAUUUUAAUGGGAAACAUUUGAUGUCAUGAUCAACUCAAACAUAGACUUUUAAAAGGCCUUAAAAGAUGCAAAAAAUGGUUAAACCGAAACAGAUUCAACAAUCAAGUCAAGUUCCGUGUAAAAUCAACUAACACCAGAUAAUUGAAUGUUGUACAACAUACGUUUUGUAAUAUUGUAAUACAUCUAAAUACAUCCAUUUUCUGGUUGAUAUUAUUGUUGGACAUUCAAUUGAAAGAUGAUCAAUUAUGGUGAACAAAAAAAAAGUCAACCUGGUUAAUCUGAUACAAAUUUUAUGUAUAAGUUGUUGGUCAAAAGAAAGGAUAGGAACAACAAUAAAAAAAACAUCAAAAUAAUGAUGAAAGUUAAGGUUCAGUAUCUUUUGUAAUCUGAUGAAAAGCUGUGACAAAAGUUGACUUUAACAAACACCUUUGAUGAUAAUCACCUUUUCCAGUUAACCAACAACAGCAACAUUAAUGGGAAAAGUCUUGGGAUAAGAAAGGCUUUCAAAGCUAACUUUAAGGUGAUAAAAUGUACUGAUAAAGUUGUGAUUGCGACAAUUGUAUUGGCUUUAAUUUUCAAUGGUUAACUUGCUGACUUUUGUCAAAGUGUUGGUAGAAAGCAAUUCAAUCUUUUUCACUCUACAAAUUGAUCUCUAUUUUUUCAUCUGCAUACAGGGAAAGGUAAGCAACAA